Molecule: ribosomal RNA, 253 nt
Filed under: uncultured bacterium
Lineage: Bacteria
Description: partial 16S ribosomal RNA
Rfam family: Bacterial small subunit ribosomal RNA
Source: RNAcentral
UACGUAGGGGGCAAGCGUUGUCCGGAAUCAUUGGGCGUAAAGAGCGCGUAGGCGGUCCGAUAAGUCGGUUGUGAAAACUGGGGGCUCAACCCUGAGAGGCCGGCCGAUACUGUCGGGCUAGAGUCCGGAAGAGGCGAGUGGAAUUCCUGGUGUAGCGGUGAAAUGCGCAGAUAUCAGGAGGAACACCAAUGGCGAAGGCAGCUCGCUGGGACGGUACUGACGCUGAGGCGCGAAAGCGUGGGGAGCAAACAGG